RNAcentral lists this ribosomal RNA (2088 nucleotides) under Eurycope sp. G9. RNAcentral's name for it is "SSU rRNA". It matches the Rfam family "Eukaryotic small subunit ribosomal RNA". Lineage: Eukaryota; Metazoa; Arthropoda; Malacostraca; Isopoda; Munnopsidae. The record is from RNAcentral.
ACAGACCGAUCUAAGGUGAAACCGCGAAUGGCUCAUUAAAUCAGUCAUAAUUCCUUGGAUAGUGAUAAACUUCCUCGGAUAACUGUGGAAAAUCCAGAGCUAAUACGUGCAACUGAGUUCCGACCUCGGCGCGAGCCUUGGGAAGAACGCAUUUAUUAGAUCCAAAACUGACCGGCGUAAUCCUCCGGGAUGCGCCGAUCGUCAAAUGUUUGAUGACUCCGGAUAACUUAGCCGAGCGCUACGGUCUUUAGUACCGGCGCCGUAUCUUUCAAGUGUCUGCCUUAUCAGCUUUCGAUUGUAGGUUAAACGCCUACAAUGGCUGUAACGGGUAACGGGGAAUCAGGGUUCGAUUCCGGAGAGGGAGCCUGAGAAACGGCUACCACAUCUAAGGAAGGCAGCAGGCACGCAAAUUACCCACUCCCAGCCCGGGGAGGUAGUGACGAAAAAUAACGAUGCGAGACUCUUCCGAGGCCUCGCAAUCGGAAUGAGUUCAUUUUAAAAUUUUGGACGAGGAUCCAUUGGAGGGCAAGUCUGGUGCCAGCAGCCGCGGUAAUUCCAGCUCCAAUAGCGUAUAUUAAAGUUGCUGCGGUUAAAAAGCUCGUAGUUGGACUACCUAGAGCCAUUUCGCGAGCGGGUCGCUCGUUGAACUAAUGUCUCGAGUAAGUCACUGGAUAACGUCGUUUCGAGCGUGGUCUUCUGGCGAUCGUCUCUCUCUAGGGAGUUGGCGUUUCGUUUAGUUGGCUCGUUUAUUCGCACGGAGUCUAGCGGACGUCGAGUCGUUGUCUUCGAGUAUUGCUCGUUCGCGUUUGGUACAAUUAAAAAUUUGUCGGCUCGUUCGGAGUGCUCUUCACCGAGUGUUCCAGGAUGGCUGACACGUUCACUUUGAAAAAAUUAGAGUGCUCAAAGCAGGCUGAUAACCAACGGCCGGAAUGUCUGUGCAUGGAAUGAAGUAACAGGACCUCGAUUCUGUUUUUUUUGUCGGUUUUAAUGAACCGAGGUAAUGAUUAAAAGGGACAGACGGUGGCAUUAGUAUUGCGGCGCUAGAGGUGAAAUUCUUGGACCGCUGCAAGACUAACUACUGCGAAAGCAUUUGCCGAGAAUGUUUUCAUUAAUCAAGAACGAAAGUUAGAGGAUCGAAGGCGAUCAGAUACCGCCCUAGUUCUAACCCUAAACUAUGCUAACUAGCGAUCCGUCGGAGUCAUUCCCACGACCCGACGGGAAGCCUCAGGGAAACCAAAGUUUUUGAGUUCCGGGGGAAGUAUGGUUGCAAAGCUGAAACUUAAAGGAAUUGACGGAAGGGCACCACCAGGAGUGGAGCCUGCGGCUUAAUUUGACUCAACACGGGAAACCUCACCAGGCCCGGACAUCAUGAGGAUUGACAGGUUGAGAGCUCUUUCUCGAUUUGAUGGGUGGUGGUGCAUGGCCGUUCUUAGUUGGUGGAGUGAUCUGUCUGGUUGAUUCCGAUAACGAACGAGACUCUACCCUGCUAACUAGUCGGCAGAUCGUAACCCUGAGAUGGUUAGUCGGUAUAGGAUGGUUUUGCCUAGGCGUCGGUUUAUGCCGCGUUCGACGUUAUACGCGCGUCGGGUGUUUGAAGGUUUCGGCCGACAGCGCCCGUGCCGUGUUUGUGUAAUUUCGGAUGUUUGUGUGUGACUGCGUCGAAGCUUCCGUUCGAUUGCUACUACUACUGGGGGCGUCUGUCGCAAUGUAUCUUCUUAGAGGGAUCAGCGGCGUAUAGCCGCACGAGAAAGAGCAAUAACAGGUCUGUGAUGCCCUUAGAUGUUCUGGGCCGCACGCGCGCUACAAUGUAGAGACCAGCGUGCUUUCCCCUUCCGAAAGGAACGGGUAACCAGUUGAAAGCCCUACCCGAUUGGGAUUGGGGAUUGCAAAUAUUUCCCAUAAACGAGGAAUUCCCAGUAAGCGUGAGUCAUCAAGUCGCGCUGAUUACGUCCCUGCCCUUUGUACACACCGCCCGUCGCUACUACCGAUUGAAUGAUUCAGUGAGGGCAUCGGACUGGCGCCUUCGGUUUAGUAACAUAGACCUUAGGCUGACGGAAAGAUGUCCGAACUUGAUCAUUUAGAGGAAGU